This 509-nucleotide ribosomal RNA is filed under the name uncultured Glomus. RNAcentral describes it as "SSU rRNA". It matches the Rfam family "Eukaryotic small subunit ribosomal RNA", at positions 569 to 1081 of the family's 1831-position model. The record is from RNAcentral. Lineage: Eukaryota; Fungi; Glomeromycota; Glomeromycetes; Glomerales; Glomeraceae.
CGCAGCCGCGGUAAUUCCAGCUCCAAUAGCGUAUAUUAAAGUUGUUGCAGUUAAAAAGCUCGUAGUUGAAUUUCGGGGUUAGCAGGUCGGUCGUGCCAUCGGUAUGAACUGGUCUCGCUGAUCCCUCCCUCUUGACGAACUGUGAUGCCAUUAAUUUGGUGUCGCAGGGAAUCAGGACUGUUACUUUGAAAAAUUAGAGUGUUUAAAGCAGGCUCACGCUUGAAUACAUUAGCAUGGAAUAAUGAAAUAGGACGUUUGAUCCUAUUUUGUUGGCUUCUAGGAUUGACGUAAUGAUUAAUAGGGAUAGUUGGGGGCAUUAGUAUUCAAUUGUCAGAGGUGAAAUUCUUGGAUUUAUUGAAGACUAACUACUGCGAAAGCAUUUGCCAAGGAUGUUUUCAUUAAUCAAGAACGAAAGUUAGGGGAUCGAAGACGAUCAGAUACCGUCGUAGUCUUAACCGUAAACUAUGCCGACUAGGGAUCGGAUGAUGUUAAUUUUUAAUGACUCAUUC